AUUGAACGCUGGCGGCAGGCCUAACACAUGCAAGUCGAGCGGAUGAGAGGAGCUUGCUUCUCGAUUCAGCGGCGGACGGGUGAGUAAUGCCUAGGAAUCUGCCUGGUAGUGGGGGACAACGUUUCGAAAGGAACGCUAAUACCGCAUACGUCCUACGGGAGAAAGCAGGGGACCUUCGGGCCUUGCGCUAUCAGAUGAGCCUAGGUCGGAUUAGCUAGUUGGUGAGGUAAUGGCUCACCAAGGCGACGAUCCGUAACUGGUCUGAGAGGAUGAUCAGUCACACUGGAACUGAGAAACGGUCCAGACUCCUACGGGAGGUAGCAGUGGGGAAUAUUGGACAAUGGGCGAAAGCCUGAUCCAGCCAUGCCGCGUGUGUGAAGAAGGUCUUCGGAUUGUAAAGCACUUUAAGUUGGGAGGAAGGGUUGUAGAUUAAUACUCUGCAAUUUUGACGUUACCGACAGAAUAAGCACCGGCUAACUCUGUGCCAGCCGCCGCGGUAA
RNAcentral lists this ribosomal RNA (500 nucleotides) under uncultured bacterium. Its description in RNAcentral is "partial 16S ribosomal RNA". It matches the Rfam family "Bacterial small subunit ribosomal RNA", at positions 30 to 523 of the family's 1533-position model. The record is from RNAcentral.